CAUCUACUUUAUCCAUUUUAUAGUUACCCUCUUUUAUAAAUUAAAAAAUGGAAAUAAAACAUUUUUGUCAUGCAAACACAGUAAAGAGAAUACUAUAUAUAGAAACAGAACAAGAGACAGCCUAUUACAAUGCACCUUCUUUUCUAUUAAGAGUAUUGAGUGGGUGGGAGAUGAAUGGGGAGGAGGGGAGGCGGUCAAAGGGCACACGGUUUUAGUUAGGCAGGAGGAGUCGUUUCUGGUGCUCUGCUACCCAGCACGAAGGUUACAGAGUGGGCCUUAAAUAUAAUGAACACAAAAAGGAGAGCAAUAAAUUUGAAGUAGGAUUUCCGGAGUUUGAGGAUCGGUCUGUGUAGUGAGAUUCUGCUUUAAAAAAAUUAAAAAAAAUACAUAAAACAUACACAAAAGGAUAUUGCAAUGCACAUCUUCACCGGGAACUACUCUUGCUGAUAAAAUUCUCUAAUGUGAUUCUGGAGCCUGAGUGUACACAGGAAAGCUAAACUUCAUCUCUGCAGGAUGGCUAACAGUGCCUUUGAUCUGAUUCUGUCACGCAUCAGUUUCAACAGGUUUUUAAGUUCUCCUAACCACCAGCUUCAAUCGUCAUCAUCACAAGAGAAAGGUCCCUCAGAAAGUCUUGUUUCAUUAGAACAAAGUAUUUUAAGACCUCUCAACCACUGCAAAAUACCUGCAUACAGCAACACCAUCAAGUUCCCAAACCGAUGAAGAUAGCGCAUUACAAAGCAGCGGACUUUAGGAGACAAGGCUGCCAUUCAUGCAUUCGUAAGCAGUUAUUUACCCCAGUCCCUUGCUGGUGCUCGGCUCUGUCAAGAGCUUGGUGUGACGUGACGGGAAUUGAAGAGCCAAGCAGCACAGGAUGAGGGUGCCAGGGAAGCGACAAGAUCAGAGGAGGGCAGGGGAUGUUGCAGCCAGCAGUCAGGGAGAACGCGGAGAUAUCAGCGAUCGACGGGGCUCGAAGUGGGAAGAGAACAGCCCGGGCUGGGGUGGCCAGGCGACGGGGUGAGCAGCAAGAGGACAACUAGGAAAGGCGAGAGCGUGGGCUAGGGGGUGAAAAAGUCAGCGCCUGACGAAAAGCCUGUAAAGGCUUCACCUCCGAGGUGCAACAAAAGAUCCGAGGGCGCUGCAGGGCAGGACAUCGCUGAGUGACUGAAAGUGGAAGCACUUAAAGCCAGCCAUGCUCGGUUAGCCUCGGUGACGCGGGCUUAGGGAGUGGGAGGUUGUCCCGGGGCUGGCCGGCCGCCGUGCACGUGCUCCUGGUCAGCUGGCCGAGUACUUCAUCCAUGCCAACAACGCACGAGUUCUUCUCAGGACUGCAGACUCUCCAAAACAUCUUUAUUGUCCCCACGGACCCUGCCAGGAAAGGCCACAAGAGAGCGGCGGGGGAGGCGGAGGAAGAAGAGG
Long non-coding RNA from Rattus norvegicus (Norway rat), 1416 nucleotides. NCBI's taxonomy places the organism in Eukaryota, Metazoa, Chordata, Mammalia, Rodentia, Muridae. The record is from Ensembl.